UGAUACGUAGGGGGCGAGCGUUGUCCGGAUUUAUUGGGCGUAAAGAGCUCGUAGGCGGUUCGGUAAGUCAGAUGUAAAAACUCCAGGCUCAACUUGGAGAGGCCAUCUGAUACUGCCGUGACUAGAGUCCGGUAGAGGAGCACGGAAUUCCUGGUGUAGCGGUGAAAUGCGCAGAUAUCAGGAGGAACACCAGCGGCGAAGGCGGUGCUCUGGGCCGGAACUGACGCUGAGGAGCGAAAGCGUGGGGAGCGAACAGGAUUAGAUACCCUGGUAGUCCACGCCGUAAACGUUGGGCACUAGGUGUGGGACCCUGUCAACGGGUUCUGUGCCGCAGCUAACGCAUUAAGUGCCCCGCCUGGGGAGUACGGCCGCAAGGCUA
RNAcentral lists this ribosomal RNA (379 nucleotides) under uncultured bacterium. RNAcentral's name for it is "bacterial SSU rRNA". It matches the Rfam family "Bacterial small subunit ribosomal RNA", at positions 521 to 896 of the family's 1533-position model. The record is from RNAcentral.